AAAGUAUGAGCGAGGGUUAGCCACAUGUGCUAGCAUGUGUUGGAUUCUAGUCACACCACAGAAUAUGAAUUUCAAAAUUUUUUUAACAUGCAUAAAAAGAGUUUUAACACUUAAAACCAGCAUACUGAAACUCAAAACCUAGAAUCACAUUAUAGACUCCAAUCAAACUAUUCAAGCAUGCAAUAGGAUAGAAAUUAUACUUCCUAGAGAAG
This 212-nucleotide long non-coding RNA is filed under the name Elaeis guineensis (African oil palm). RNAcentral's name for it is "long non-coding RNA (EGUI_LNC058524)". The record is from RNAcentral. Lineage: Eukaryota; Viridiplantae; Streptophyta; Magnoliopsida; Arecales; Arecaceae.